Small nucleolar RNA from Hemicordylus capensis (graceful crag lizard), 75 nucleotides. RefSeq annotates it as small nucleolar RNA SNORD47. NCBI's taxonomy places the organism in Eukaryota, Metazoa, Chordata, Lepidosauria, Squamata, Cordylidae. The transcript has a single exon. The record is from RefSeq and is a predicted model, not a curated record.
AACCAGUGAUGAAGUUAGAUUCUGCCAGAUGAGUGCCAAUGAUAUUAACAGCAUUCCGUUCCACUUCCUGAGGUU